ACUCAAAUGAAUUGACGGGGGCCCGCACAAGCGGUGGAGCAUGUGGAUUAAUUCGUCACUAACCGAAGAACCUUACCCAGGUUUGACAUCUGUAGAACCCUGCUGAAAGGCGGGGGUGCCUUCGGGAGCUACAAGACAGGUGUUGCAUGGCUGUCGUCAGCUCGUGUCGUGAGAUGUUGGGUUAAGUCCCGCAACGAGCGCAACCCUCACCGUAUGUUGCCAGCGUAAAGUCGGGAACUCUUACGGAACUGCCCGUGCAAGCGGGAGGAAGGUGGGGAUGACGUCAAGUCGGCAUGGCCCUUACGCCUGGGGCUUCACACAUGCUACAAUGGGUGGCAACAAAGGGCAGCAAAACCGCGAGGUCAAGCGAAUCCCAAAAAUCCAUCCUCAGUUCGGAUUGCAGGCUGCAACUCGCCUGCAUGAAGCCGGAAUCGCUAGUAACCGCAGGUCAGCUAAACUGCGGUGAAUACGUUCCCGGGCCUUGCACACACCGCCCGU
RNAcentral lists this ribosomal RNA (498 nucleotides) under uncultured bacterium. RNAcentral describes it as "partial 16S ribosomal RNA". It matches the Rfam family "Bacterial small subunit ribosomal RNA", at positions 899 to 1397 of the family's 1533-position model. The record is from RNAcentral.